Molecule: long non-coding RNA, 372 nt
Filed under: Mytilus galloprovincialis (Mediterranean mussel)
Lineage: Eukaryota; Metazoa; Mollusca; Bivalvia; Mytilida; Mytilidae
Source: RNAcentral
AAGCAUUAAGAGCAAAUCUGACAGGAAGUAAAAUUGUUGAUCAGGCACGAUCUAUCUGCCCUGGAAUUUUCAGAUGAAUCGGAUAAUCGGUUGUUAGGUUGCUGCCCCUGAAUUGGUAAUUUUGAGGAAAUUUUGCUGUUUUUUUGUUAUUAUCUUGAAUAUUAUUAUAGAUAGAGAUAAACUGUAAACAGCAAUAAUGUACAGCAAAGUAAGAACUAAAAAUAAGUCAGUAUGACCAAAAAAGUCAAUUGACCCCCUAAGGAGUAAUUGCCCUUCAUAGUCAAUUUUUAACAAUUUUCUUAAAAUUUGAAGAUUUUCAAUAACAUUUUCCACAGAAAGUACUGUUAUAGAUAGAGAUAAUUGUAAGCAGCA